Mycena polygramma is the source of this 92-nucleotide non-coding RNA. Lineage: Eukaryota; Fungi; Basidiomycota; Agaricomycetes; Agaricales; Mycenaceae. The record is from the annotation of a GenBank genome assembly.
GCCUCUGUGGACUGUGGAAGUCACUUCAUCUCGUUUGGCCUCCAGAAGAUUGGUUAUUUGAAGAGACGUGGGUUCAAUUCCCACCGAAGGCG